CUCCUGAAAAGAGAGCUGUUUAGAGAGGCAGUUUUGAAUUUAGGAGCGGCAAGAUGGCAGCGGCAAACCCUGGCGGUUCUCCGGGUUCGUGGCAACCACGGAUGGGGAAAAUGUGGAGGUUGCACGGCUGAUGUUUACUGUUCAUGGCACAGGAAGAGGCAGUUUUAUUUCAGGAAUGAGUGAGCACAAUCAAAGAAUAGAGCGACUGUGGAGAGACCUCUGGGUGGCCAUUACAUGCUUUACUACGAUGUUCUUCACAACCUUGAGGAAGAAGACCUUCUUGACAUUUCAAAUGCUGCACACCUCUUUUGCUGCCAUUACGUCUUUCUUCCUCGACUGGAGGAUGAUUUUAAUACAUUUUGCAGUGGAUGGGACAACCAUCCACUGCGAAC
This is a long non-coding RNA of Oreochromis aureus, 392 nucleotides long. RefSeq lists it as uncharacterized. NCBI's taxonomy places the organism in Eukaryota, Metazoa, Chordata, Actinopteri, Cichliformes, Cichlidae. The record is from RefSeq and is a predicted model, not a curated record. The transcript is spliced from 4 exons.